UCAAGAUGAGAUUUCCCAUUUCUUCGGAAAGUAAGAUCCCUGAAAGAUGAUCAGGUAGAUAGGUUUGGAGUGGAAGUGUAGCGAUACAUGGAGCGGACAAAUACUAAUCGAUCGAGGACUUAACCAAAA
RNAcentral lists this ribosomal RNA (129 nucleotides) under Listeria monocytogenes. Its description in RNAcentral is "partial 23S ribosomal RNA". It matches the Rfam family "Bacterial large subunit ribosomal RNA", at positions 2799 to 2925 of the family's 2925-position model. The record is from RNAcentral. Lineage: Bacteria; Bacillati; Bacillota; Bacilli; Caryophanales; Listeriaceae.